RNAcentral lists this transfer RNA (72 nucleotides) under Microbacterium sp. RU33B. It matches the Rfam family "tRNA". Rfam says of the family: Transfer RNA (tRNA) molecules are approximately 80 nucleotides in length. Their secondary structure includes four short double-helical elements and three loops (D, anti-codon, and T loops). Further hydrogen bonds mediate the characteristic L-shaped molecular structure. tRNAs have two regions of fundamental functional importance: the anti-codon, which is responsible for specific mRNA codon recognition, and the 3' end, to which the tRNAs corresponding amino acid is attached (by aminoacyl-tRNA synthetases). tRNAs cope with the degeneracy of the genetic code in two manners: having more than one tRNA (with a specific anti-codon) for a particular amino acid; and 'wobble' base-pairing, i.e. permitting non-standard base-pairing at the 3rd anti-codon position. Lineage: Bacteria; Bacillati; Actinomycetota; Actinomycetes; Micrococcales; Microbacteriaceae. The record is from Rfam by way of RNAcentral.
GCCCCGAUAGCUCAGUGGUAGAGCACUUCCUUGGUAAGGAAGAGGUCGUCAGUUCGAUCCUGAUUCGGGGCU